AAUGUUUUACAAAGCAUUACAGGGGUGUCGCU
This 32-nucleotide non-coding RNA is filed under the name Rattus norvegicus (Norway rat). The record is from RNAcentral. Lineage: Eukaryota; Metazoa; Chordata; Mammalia; Rodentia; Muridae.